RNA transcript from Toxorhynchites rutilus septentrionalis, 2837 nucleotides. It is a transcript of the gene named lipid scramblase CLPTM1L, with no coding region annotated. The transcript is spliced from 8 exons. Lineage: Eukaryota; Metazoa; Arthropoda; Insecta; Diptera; Culicidae. The record is from RefSeq and is a predicted model, not a curated record.
UUUGAACCACUUUUGCGUCAAAACACUUCAAUCAAAACAAUAUGCGAGCGCAUAUGUCGAUAGUUUACGUUUACAUGCUUUUGAUUUUGGAAGCAAAUCAUAGCUGAAAAAUGUACAUUCCGUCAAUAUCUGUGAUAAUAUGUUUAAUAUUCACAUGUUACAUCGCCCAUUCCGUAUAUACGCUGGUUGCGCUAUUUCGGCUGCCAACAUGCAGUCAAGCUCCGUGUUUUCAAUCAUACCUUGCCAAGGAACCACAACUUCAACUAGUUCUAUUCACAUCAUCAACCAGUAAUCCAUUAAAUAGCGAAGUUUCAAAAAUCCAUUCCAUCCAGAAUUUUAAUUGUAAUAAUGCUCUUCAAAGGACCCUCCACAUCAAUAUUCCCGCUGAAACGAGGCGAAAUGGGACACUAUACAUGCAUUUCAUCUUGACUGCUGACAGUAGAAAAGAUUUCACAUGGAAGUCAUUAAAACAGACCGAUCCUACUGUUAUUCAGAAAAUGCGUCUAACAGAAUACAAAUUACCCAAGACAACGACGUUCGGUUUGUUAGGCGAUGAGGCAAAACAAAAGAAAGCCUCCUCCAACAAACCCGUGACACACAUACAGACAAAAGUGUUCCUAAAUGUUUUGACAGAUCUCUUUCAAAUGUCGGCCGUAGAUGUACCGCCGGAACUGGCAAAAUAUGUACAAAUUAAUCGUUAUAAUGAAUUUCUACCUAUCCUGUAUGUAGAUCAUUUGAAUACUCGGCAGCAGGACCUUAUGGAAAUUUCGCAAAAGAGUACAAAUUUCACACUAGAAUUCAACUACACACCGAUAGGAGUUGGCAAGCUCAAACUGUUCGUUCAUGUGGAACAAGCGAUACUCGCACUCAAAAGCAUGGGAUUUUCUAAUAAAGAUAUAGACGAAGUGAAAGGAAUUUUCUCAAACACCAAUUUGUAUCUUCUUUGUGGCACGGUAUUUAUAGGAAGCAUACACAUGCUCUUUGAUUUUCUUGCAUUCAAGAAUGAUAUACAGUUUUGGAAUCGUAGAAAAAAUUUCGCUGGUCUAUCUGCAAGAUCAGUAUUGUGGUGUGCUUUCAGUCAAAUUGUUAUAUUCCUCUACCUGUUGGAUGAAGAUACGUCUCAGCUUGUGCUAAUUCCUUCCGGAAUAGGUGCAUUCAUCGAGAUAUGGAAAACUAAGAAAAUAUUCCGAAUCAACUUCAACUGGGCUUCAAUUAAAAAAUCUGCCUUCACAAAUAAUAAAAAAGCAUUGAUUGAAGCCGAAAGCACCACACGAGCUUUUGAUAAACAGGCGAUGGAAUACUUGGGAUAUAUACUAUAUCCACUUUGCAUAUGCGGAGCGGUUUAUUCUUUGAUCUACCAACCAUACAAGAGUUGGUAUUCGUGGAUCAUAAACUCACUCGUUAACGGGGUAUACGCAUUCGGGUUCUUGUUUAUGUUACCUCAACUGUUUAUCAACUAUAAGAUGAAAUCGGUCGCAACAUUACCGUGGCGUGCGUUGAUGUACAAAGCAUUCAACACUUUCAUUGACGACGUUUUUGCAUUCAUCAUCACGAUGCCAACUUCGCAUCGCAUCGCAUGUUUCCGGGAUGACAUCGUUUUCAUAAUAUAUCUGUAUCAAAGAUGGCUGUAUCCUGUAGACAAAUCAAGGUUGGACAACGAUCUAUCUGUAAUCGGUGAAAUUGAUGCACCUGAGAAUGGAGAGCAACGCUCCAAGAAGGAUAAUUAGACUAUCGUAGAGUUUUAUAGGAGCAUCGCCAAUGUCCGGCUAAAUUAUGGGCCCUAUUCCAGAAAACGAGACGAGCGCAGAAGCCGAGCUCGACUAAAAACAGAGGAGUAGCUCGUCUGGCUCGACGACCGUUUGGCCGCACUCGUCGAUGAAUCAGUAGAAUCGUCCAGUUUGUUUGAUGUGUUUGUUCACCUUGUUGAUUGAAAGCAUCGGUAUUCUUCUGCUCCGCCUUUAUCUUCAAAAAAUGUUUCACGGCUAAACUAGUAUUGCAAAAGCAAUAUUUUCAAAUGGACCUCUCCCAAACAACAAAACCAAAUGUAAACAUUGAACUAAUAUCCUGGGAUGCUAGAUGACUGUUUUGGAUAUAUGAACACGGCACGAAAAGGAUCUUCACAUAUUGAACGAAAAUGAGUAAUUCAAAACAACUACUUUAUUGGAAAUACAUAUAUAUAUAUAUAGAUUUAAAACUUUUCUUGAUAAAUCGUUGAUUAGGUGAACAAACAUUGCCCCCAAUAAAUCCAUAAUAACAAAACGUCUGAGUGAUAAAACCAUAUGCUCGAGGAAAAAUAUCAAUGAAACCAAAAGAUAUAUGAAACUUAUUGACGAAUUUACGUUGGAUUUACAAACAGAUGGCGCAGCGAGUAAAAUGAGGAUGUUUGGUUUUUUUGGUAUGAAAUUCGUUCAAAUUUUCUAGAAAAAUCAGAAUUUUUCUUCAAGUUUCCCGGUUUCAUGUAUUCUUUCCACGCUGAAAAGGUUAGAAAAUCAUCAUUUUACAAUGUGCUAUGUAUAUUACGAGGAAUGGCUUGUUAUAAGUGUUGUAACUUUAAUUUUUUUCAACUAAGUAAACGAUGAAUAGGGUGUUUUGCGCUAAAAAUACUGCAAAUCCUUCUCGUAUCGGCCCCCACAUAAUCAAUGAUAUCAGCCAAUUUGAUAUGAUAUCGAUUUCAUCGCAAUUAUCCAUAGUAUCAAUAACCGGUAUGCAUCAUCAAACUUAAAAUUUUCAAAGAUUAUCUAUGACUUUGGUCAAAUCGCGUGUUGAAACCAUCGUAACUAUACAGAACUCCCACUUUCUUACCAUAUACUGACGACAUUAAAUGGCUGAAAUGAAUC